This 23-nucleotide non-coding RNA is filed under the name Arabidopsis thaliana (thale cress). The record is from RNAcentral. Lineage: Eukaryota; Viridiplantae; Streptophyta; Magnoliopsida; Brassicales; Brassicaceae.
UCAUACUAGUGGGUUGCCUUCCA